RNAcentral lists this ribosomal RNA (506 nucleotides) under uncultured bacterium. Its description in RNAcentral is "partial 16S ribosomal RNA". It matches the Rfam family "Bacterial small subunit ribosomal RNA", at positions 28 to 523 of the family's 1533-position model. The record is from RNAcentral.
GAUGAACGCUAGCUACAGGCUUAACACAUGCAAGUCGAGGGGUAACGAGAGGAAAGCUUGCUUUCCUUGUCGACGACAGGCGUACGGGUGAGUGACGCGUAUACAACCUGCCACCAACUCAGGAAUAACGUUGCGACAGUAAGAAUAAUACCUUAUAAUCUCAUCAGCUGUCAGAUGAGCAGGACUAAAGAUUUAUCGGUUGUGGAUGGUGAUGAGUCUGAUUAGCUUGUUGGAGGGGUAACGGGCUAACAAGGCAACGAGCAGUAGGGGUUCUGGGAGGAAGGUCCCCCACAUUGGAACGGAGACGCGGACCUAAGGCCUACGGGAGGCAGCAGUGAAGAAUGUUGGUCAAUGGGCGAAAGCCUGAACCAGCCAAGGAGAGUGCGGUGAAACGGCCCUAUGGGUAGUAAACUGCAUUUAUACAUGAAAAAAGUUAGCCACGUGUGGUUAUGUGUAGGUACUGGAUGAAUAAGGACCGGCUAAUUCCGUGCCAGCAGCCGCGGUAA